Long non-coding RNA from Parus major (Great Tit), 7834 nucleotides. RefSeq lists it as uncharacterized. Lineage: Eukaryota; Metazoa; Chordata; Aves; Passeriformes; Paridae. The record is from RefSeq and is a predicted model, not a curated record. The transcript has 3 exons.
AGCUGGCCGGGCGGGGCAGAGGCGGGGCCGGGCACCCCGUUUGCCCCGUGAGCUCGGUGAAAUCCCUCUCGGCUCCCCGUGUGUCUCUGAAAAACGCUCAGAUCUUGCAGAUGCUGCCCAUAAAAUUACAGUCAGGAUCAAGAAUGUGAUGUCGUUAAACUUGUCUUGGUUCAUAGCCAUAGCUAAGAGUCCCUCAAGUUCAUUUUCCGAUCAUUAAUUUGUUCUCUAAUUUGACCCAAAAUGCUGACUCUGCUGUCAGAAUCUUACAGCUUUCUCAUCUUAUGAUUUUUUUUUUCAGCUGCUCCCUCGAGGUCUCCAGAAACUCUGAGUCCAAAGUUGCCUGUGGGGCUUUGAUGGGAGCAUGAGAUCCUUCUGCUCUUGGGCCUGGUUUCUUUCUACUCAGGUAGAUGUGAGCUGCACAAUCCCUCUUGGAUUCACCUCUUCCUGCUGAGUCCCUCUACAAGGUGCAGAAGAACCCUGCCUGUGUUGUAUCAGAAGAAUAUUUGGACACAGAAUUCAGUUAUCUGAGGGAAGUUUUGGUUUCUGUUCAAAUAAAUGAUCAGUCCAACAUGUUUACGAUAAAUGAUUUUGUUAAUUUUUUGGGAAGAUUUCUCUGCUAUUUAAUCUGUCCUGCAGGCUACAGGAGGGCUCCAUACAAGUUAAACUGGCAGCAACAGUGCCUUUCUCCUUCUCCUCCUCCUCACUCCAAGAGUAAAUUUCUUUGCUGGGCUGCACCUUGAAUUCAAUGGUUUUAACUUAGGUACUUCACGUGCACCAUCAGUGCUGGGGGAGCUUUGGGGUCCAGAGCCUCAGCACUGAUUAAAUGUAAAAUUAUCCCUGCAGGAUGAGCUGCUGAGAACAGAAUCCCAGUCAAUGACUGAGGAGUCCAAAGAGCUUUUCUGCUUUUCUGAAUUCUACCCCAAGUUACUCCUUUGCAAGGACAAAACAGAAGGGAAAGGUCCAAAAUGAGCUUUCUUGUGUGAGUGGUUUCUUCUCAAAUAAACAGAAAUGCUGCUGAGUUUUCUAUUUUCUAUGGAAAUUUGCUAGAAAGCUGAGGAGAGGAGGAACUUUUUAAAAUGAUGGAUCCAAAGCUAUUCUUGUGCUAUUUAUACAAAGCCUUUGCAUCAGUAAUUGCAUAUUAGAGAGGUACAAAAUGUCCUUCCAGAGCAAAUGUACUCAGACUAAUUCAGACAUAUUUGGCAAUUCAUGAAGGUGUUUAACUGUUCAUGGAUCUGGGUAGAAAAGUCAAGUACUUCUGACUUUAAGACAGAAAUCAGAUGCUAAUAAUGACCGGUGUUUAUCUCAAGAACCUGCCACUAAGACCAAAAUGUCUAUUUCCAUGCUAUCUCAAAUCAACCCAUGUCUAAAAUCAUUAUUUAUUGCAUAUUAACUACAGAAAACUUCACCGAGUUUUAUAAGCCUCCUCCCCUUCCUUAGUUCUUAUUAACCCCUGUAAGAAACACUCAUCAGGACUGCUGCAGUGUGGAAAAAUAUUUGCAAGUGUGAAAAGGAAAAUUAUGGCAGUAGGAAGAUAUAAUUCCUAUUUCACAUGGAUUCCUAUUUCAAUCAUGAUAGAAUCUUAUUUACUGUCCCAUUCAAAUGAGUGGUGCUUUUCUGCUUCUGGCUGGAACACUUGAAGGAAAUAUAUUGAUGUGAUCAUGGUGUGAUGCUGUUUGGGUACAAGAAGAGAAAAUUUCCAUCAGGGAGAGCUGAUCUGAGCACAGCUGCUGCUGCUGCUGCUGCUGCUUGGAAACUUGCCAGUGUUUUAAAUAGACUUCUACAUUUUCCCAGGUCUAAGAAGUAAUAGAAAAGGCUGUUAAGAGUGGAGUAGGAUUAAGUGUUUAGGAAAAAUUAGGGGAAAGGUAUUGGAGUCUUUGUGCCUGGCUGUGAAUUGCAGAGGAGAAUUGGAGAGACCCAUUUCCAGUGCUCCAAUCUGUGUAGCCAUGAGCCAAGGGACAGGACUCUUCCUUUGAAAUCAUCCCACAAUUCAGCCUGCCCUUAUUUCCAUUAUUCUCACUCUACGUUUUCUUCUUCUGAUCUUCUUAAAACAAACAUCACUGAAUUCCAGCAGGCCAAACUGGGAAUGUGCUCCUCCUAUUCCUACCCUUACAUUCCCAAGCUGUUUCCUUUAGCAUUUACUGGCAGCUGCCCGUAAAGUGGACAGGCCAUAGGUGCUACCAGAACAUAUAUUUAUUUCUCUGGCAUUCCUUUCAAGUCAGCUCUGAGAAUUUCACUACUAUGCAAGAUGUCUGAAACAUUAUCUGUCCCCAGCCUGUGCUCUUCCCAUUUCCACCUUCAGUCUGGAAAAAACAAAUCCAUUUGGUGCCUGAGUCUGUUCGCUCACAUGGUGUGCACACGACUGCAGCUAAAUCAGAAUUAGCUAAAACAGGAAGCUUAUUUCAAAGCCUAUGCAGCCCAGCCAGGAAAGCUUCCAGAAACAUGUGCUCCGAGAUGAUCUCAGCACGUUCAUUAUUCAGACUGUGAAUAGCUUUAAAAGGGCCAAAUUUCUUCAGGUUGAAUCAGCUAGGAAAGUAAUUCAAAUGGAGCAGUAAGAAUCGCUUGAGCAGUUCAGGAAAUGUUUGUUGGAGCCACUAAGAAUGCAGGAGGUAGAAAAAUAAAAUUUACUUUGAUAAAUAUGUAUUCAAAGUUUGGGCUUAUAAGAAACUGGAAAAGUAAAUAGAAGUACCAUAUAUUUUUUUUUAUAAAAUGGUGAUGUUAUAAAUCCUUUUAUAUCAAGAAAAACAAUCCAAUAACAGCAACACCCCACAAGCAGAUAUAAUGGUCAUGAAAAUAUCAGACAUGUUGGGUAAAUUUUGCUAUUUUGGGGAUAAAGUGAAAGUAGUCAUAACUAUCAUUCAGCAAUUUUAUUUAAAAAAUUACAAUCACCAUCAAUUUUGCAGUGAACCUGUUUUUCACAGUGGCUUAACUCAUGAAAGUCUAUGGAUCUAUAGAAAUGCUUCAAACCAUAGAGAAACCCUCUCAUUUAAUACCAAAAACUUGGGAAAAACAUGGACUGGAUGUUCUGAAACCACACUAGAGGGCACUUGAGCUGCUUCUUCUUGAGUCAGAGUAGAGGGAUGCUUAACCAGGAGCAGCAGUGGACUGAACAUGGGAAUUAUCAGGAUUUAUCAAUAUUAGGCUGGUAGAACGAUCAGUGAUUUCCCCCAACAGCUUAAUGAGGGGGAAUAGGUGCGAAUUUCCAGGCCUAAAUUUUGCUUGUAGGUACUGUAAACAAUUAGGAAGAAAUAAUGUAAAAAUUGCUGAUUGAUUGCAAUCAUGUUUUUUCUCUGUACAUGGAUCAACCACAGAAAUGUGGGAUACUUUGGGAAUUUCCACAGAAAAAUCUAGCCUCAAACAGAGCAAAUGUCUGGAAAGCUGAGCUGUUCCUUGCUCCCACUGUAAUGGUCUUGCUCCUGUACUGUCCCCUUUUGGAGUGUGAUGUCUUAAAAGGAUUGAUUUUGUGGGAAUGGAACCAACAGCACUUGACAGCCUUUCUGUAAGGUAUCCAUAAUAAAUACUGAAGGCUAGGAAGGUACUGAACACCCCACUGCUUAUAACUCACUUUCAGAGAUUUGGUUAAAAGAAAUUACUACGUUGGUCUGGUUCCCAAUGUGGGAAACACCCACAGAAGUUUGAGUGUAUUUAGCUGGAGAAAAGGAGGCUAAGGGGGAAUAUCUGGCUCUGCACAACUCCCUGAUAGGAGGGGCAGCCAGGGGGGUUUGGCUCAGCUCCCAGGGAACAGGGACAGGAUGAGGGGAAAUGGCCUCAAAUAGUGCCAGGGGAGGUUUAGAUUGGAUAUUGUGGAAAGUGUUUUCACUGAGUGAUCAGACGCUGGCACAGCUGCCCAGGGCAGUGGUGGAAUCCCUGGACGUGUUCCAAAGUCAUGUGGAUGUGGCACCUGGGGACAGGGGUUAGUGGUGAACACAGCAGUGCUGGGGAAUGGCUGGACUUGAUAAUCCUAAAAGGCUUUUCCAGAUGAAUGGUUCCACGAUUCUCUGAUCUCUCAUGGAUCAAGGCCUCCCUACCUUUGGUGCUGGGCCCCACGUUUCAAGGUGCUGGAGCCCAGCCCUGGCAGAGCAGCUCCUGGGCACCUUCUCUGCCUGUGCAGAGCCUGGUGGGCUCAGGUGCUGCUGCACAGCCCCACUGACAAAUUCAUUUCCUGCAGAUGACCACAUUGUGUUUGUAAAACAAACUCUGCUCAGGAACUGGCUGCCUCUGCAGCAGGAGCCACUGGAAAGGCUGAGUUUCAAACAAUUCUCCUUUUGCCCUGACAGGCACAACCAAACUCCAGCUCACAGCAGCUUCACUCCAUCAUCACUGAAACAAAGCUAUGAGCUGCAAUUAAAUUAAAGUCAGAUUUCUUAUGAAGGACAUGGACCCUUUGUAUGUAUUGUGGAAUACCCAUUUUUUGUGGAUCACACUCCCCCAGUCCCAGGAAAUUGCUGGGCAGUUUUGUGACCUUUCUGUCUGUGUUUGCUGUUCCUCAGCCUCUCAUCUUCCCCCUUCCUGUGCCCUUGUGAGACCCCACCUGCAGCAACUCUUAAAAAACCUAUAGCUGAAUUGCUGUCCUACCACUUCUGCCUUUGAGUACAUGUUUCCUCAUGAGUAUCCAGGCACAGAGGGAGUUUUCCUGCUCCCAGCAGUGAGGUAGGACACGUUUGUUGACAGGCUGACACGUGCAGCACGUCCUUGCAGCGAGGACAAACUGAAAAAGCAUUGGGAGAGCUGGACAAGCCCUCACAGGAUCCAGGAGCCACCUCAGACCUCUCUGCAUUCCAUUUAAAUGCCAGGUGUGCUCUUUUGAUCUGGCUCCAGGAGCAAGGAGGCACAGAGUGAGGCAGGAGCACCUCCAUGUGUGUUCCAUGGAUGAGGAAAGGGGGAGGAUGUCUUGUGGCAGAUGCUGGCUUUGCUUUUUUGGAGCACUCUUGGGUUAUGCUUGCAACCUCUUAAUGAGAUUAAUGCAAAAACUGAGUGGGAUGGAGUGGAUGGAGACACAGAUCUGGUUUUUACUACUGACAUAUUGAUCUAAUCUCUCCAUGCUUUCCAUGUAUAUCCUGGAUAUUUAUGGCAUAAGAACACACCUCUAGAAACACUGAACACCCAAAUCCUCCGGUUUUUAUCACUUUUGUAAGCCCCUUUUUGAAGUACCUUGAAGGGGAUUUUUUGCAGUUUAGUUAUGAUCAGAAUUUAGAGCACAUGUGUAAUAAAAGGAGUUAUUCUGUAGUAACCUCCUGAAAAGUAACAGUGCUGUUUACAGGGGAACUUGUCUGUCCAAAAGGAGCAUAUCCUUUAGAAUUAAAUAAAUUUACCUCCCUAGGAGGAGCUUUCUGUGCCUGUAAUAAGAAGAAAUUACCUUCUUUCUGAUGAGUGGGGGUUUUGCAAAUAUAUUUUGUUGUUGUUGUUGGGUUUUUAAAUUAAUUUUAUGUUGCUUUUUUUAAAGCACAUACCAUGACUUGAAGUUUUUGGUGAACUCCCUCAUUCCCAAGUGUUUUUGGGUGGAAUAGAGAACAGAACUGAAAGUUUAGUGGAAUUCUGAAGCUAAUAACUUGGUUCUUCAGCUUAAAUUAGAUAGAUUAGAUUUCCAUGACAAUCCUUCAGUUAAUUGCACUUAAAACACUUGAUACCACAGUUUCUUCUGAGCUUCCUGUGCUGCUGCAUGUGUGGCCUGACAGGAACUUUCUAAGCAAAACAGCUGAAAUUGCAUCAGAGAGGACUCAGAAUAUGGAAAGGAAAAGAGAAGUGAGGAAGAAUAACAGAACAAUGGACAAUAAGUGUGAGUCUGACCCAAACUGCUGGGAUGCACAUGGAGCUGGAGGACGAUUUAGGCAGAAAAGGAAAGAAUGAGAACAAAACCUUCUCCCCUAGCUUCAAAGCUCUUGGUAAAAGCAUAGGAGCCCCUCAAGUUUCUGAGGUCAAACAUGGAGGAGAUGACUGUGUAGAGAUUUAGGAUGUCUGGAACUGUCAACUUCCCAAUUAAAUUACAAAACAGUGCUCUGAACAUGGAAAAAUGUGCAGGAAGAAAGCCUAUAUGGUACCAUAUGACUUGAUUUGGACAAGAGGUAAAUGUAAAAAAUUUACAUGGGCAGAGCUGGCAACAGAUCUGGACUCGGAAUUUUGACCUGUUACUGAAAAAGCAGCAUUUCAGAUUUUAGAUAUGGAGUUGUUUCUUUGAGCUCUGUGGCUGAAGAAAACAAGAUGAAUGUGAUCAGAUCUCAAGAUCUGUGAGAAUUUUCUGGAAGUCAGUCCUUUUCCUUGAAUCUUUUUGGUAAUAUAAGCUGUACCAGUUGUUGGGUUUAAAGCAAGAUAAGCACCCUGACCAGCUCCAGCACGGCGGCCACUCUCCAGCUGCUCGGACCACAUUCCACAGCAUCAAUGUGAUAGAUGGCAAAUAUGGCAAUUUAUUGCAGGGAAACUUAACAUUUUAUAGCCUGGGUCAUUGUGUUACUCCCAUCUACAUAGUCACACCUGGGUGCUAUUGGCUAAUUACAAGAGGACUUCCUAUCCUAGAGAGAGGGGUGGGUUACUGGCUUUCCGUUACAUCCCGAAUUCUUCCACAGCGCCAGGCCCUAACUACAACAACCAGUUCCCUGCACUUCUUAGUGCCUAUCAAGUGAAGUUGGGUGAUGAUGUGUUGGCCAAUAUUUUCUUUUAUAUAACCUGGAUAAUGGGAACUCUGACAGGGAUUUAUGAAUGACAACAAAGCUGUAAAAUGCUGCCAGAAUGGGGGAGGACAGAAUUCGGAUUAUAAAUGACAGACUUGGGAAAACCUUUAAAAGAGUAGCUACUUAAUCAUAGCAUAGAAGAUCAUGUGUAGGAAUGAUCAUCACAAGGGCAGCAUUGGGAGCAAAUGGCCAGGUAAGGUCUGCAGUGAGGAAUUUAGGAGAUGCUGUGAGCAUCACAGCACUCACAGCCCCUGUGGGGUUCUGCUCCCCAGGAAAGGUAGGAACCACUAGGGGACAAUCCAGACCAACUUUCAGCUCUCUGAUCCCUCUUGGAGCUGUAAACAUGAGAUCAUUCCAGGAUAUCUCCUGCAUAUGUCCUACAUAUGUCUCAAGUCUUCACUGUGAACUCUGCAAAUACUGCAAAGAAUAAUAUAAAAACACAGCCCAGAUGAGGUGGUAUCAGAAUAUAGGAAAAAAGCUUAGAAUGUAGGGGGAAAAAAAACCCAAGUGACAAAAGCUGGAUGAAUCUGGAAACUUGCUCCUUUGUAGCUUUGUGGUUAGAAUCCUGCUUUUUGUCUUUCUUUGGCUGUCCUGUUUGAUUGCUCAGAAUUCUGUGAAGUCUAAAUCCAUUUCCUUGAUUCUUACAGUCUAGCUGAAUUUCUUUUCCAGCCCUCCCCUGCACUUGCAGGCCAGGUAGGUAACUUCUCAUGCAUACUUCAUAAAGGAUGCCUUGCAAAGUUGUUGGUGCUGCUCAAAAGCUGGAAAGCACAGGAUUUCCUCUGAUGCUUGCCUGUAUCUGGCUUUCUUCUGUGACCUUCCCAGGUCCUUGAGAAUUAAGCACUUGUGCUGGAAUUGAGGUGAUGUGGGAGGGUCACCAUUCCCAAAUCUUUUUUCUUUCCACCCACAUCUCUUGGGUGUUUCUGUGCCUGCCAGUUGUGUGUCACAGUCAUGCCCUGUUGCAAACACAUAGGGAGACACAGACUUGUUCUGGCUCAGGAUGUUUUAAUGCUUUUAAGGUAAAAAAGGGACCAGCCACCAACCUUUCCUGCCCUGACAACUACCAGCUCUUCCUGAUCCUGCAGAGGGAGGGACAUGGAUAAAGAUAGGUUUAGAUCAGAUGUCAGGAAGGAAUUGUUCCAUGUGAGGGUGCUGAGGCCCUUGCACAGGGUGUC